Long non-coding RNA from Passer domesticus (house sparrow), 3101 nucleotides. RefSeq lists it as uncharacterized. Lineage: Eukaryota; Metazoa; Chordata; Aves; Passeriformes; Passeridae. The transcript has 2 exons. The record is from RefSeq and is a predicted model, not a curated record.
CAGCCAGCACGGUGCUGCCAUCCCGGCCCCGGGCUCGGCUCUGCUCUGCAGGGACACGGAUCGCUGGGGCAGGGCUGAAGUCACCGACACCGCAGGUAUUUCACACCACAGAGCCUGGCACGUCGGGACAUGGCUUCGCCGCGAGCAGGGACUGCGGGUUGACAGAUCUGAUGAUCUCAGAGGCCUUUCCCAAUCAGAAUGACUCCAGGAUUCAGUAAGCCCUCUGAUGAUGGUGGAGUUGAGUGCUCUCCAUGGACCGCUGAGUCCGGGGGGCUGGAAGUGGAAUGGGGAAGGAGAGAUUCUCUGGUUCAGCUGAGCCAGCACUGUCAGAAGCAGCUGAUGAGCCCCAGCAAGGAGAUCUCAGCUGUCCAAUACAGCUUAGACCUGAUUUUCAAAGGCACUUGCAGCAUCUUUGCUGAGAGUCAGUGACAAUUCAUUCACACUUCUGGUCUGAGGUCUUUCCAACACCAAAUGUCACUGGCAGAUGCUGUGUCAGUGCUGACAGUGAACCUGCCUUACCCGAGCCAUUCUCGUCUUUGCAGGAGACCUGUUCAGUUUUGCAGGAGUAGUUAUUACAUUGACCAAACGAGGCCCGUACACUCACAUUUACUGCCCUGGAAGGAGGCAGCAGCUCAGCAGGUUCUGGAAGAAUUGUACUAACUGGUGGGCAGAGGGAGCUUACCCUGCUGUUUUAAAAUGACUUAGCUUCUCCCCUUACUAGUUUUCAGGGCUUAGAAAUGUCAGUUAAAACAGUCAUAAAAUAUCGAGUUAUGCAUGCGAAAUCUGAGGGGAUUUGCAUGAAGGCUUAUGGCAAUCCAGCUGCAGUUUGCACAGCCUUUAAUUUGAAAGCUGCCUUGAUGGCUGGGGUAUCCUAGUGGAGAUGGUAUCUGUGGCCUUAAUGUCUUCAGAUUCCCUCAUCACUUCCUCGCUUUGAAGUGAGCAUCUCUGGAUUUUAGGGAAAUCACUUCAGGUCUGGCUUUAAAACAGAAUUUCUUUAACCCAAGUAUUUAAACAUGAAUCUGAACCUCAGUGUCUUCGUACAUCACUGCCCAGCUACAGUAGGGGAAAUUGUCACCUCAUUGCUCUGCAGCUGCUGCCCUGGAAGCUGAGAAGCUCUCGGAUGCUGUGCUGACAGAAGGGACACACAACAAGCUGCACAGCACAGCCAGGCUCAGGCAGAAACUUACCUAUACAUGGCCCUGACAUGGAUCCUCUGCUCUCACUGACAGCAUUCUCUGAGUCUCUGACUUUACAGCAAUUUCUGCACCUCCAGAUCAAUCAGGUACCCAGAGGAAAGAGAUUUAGUGACGUUUAAUACAAAGAAAUCGGAUGUGUCUGUGUAAAUGCUGUUUAGGUGCCCCCUGUGUGCCGUGGGAGGGUUUAAAUUCACGACAGUCUUUGUUGGGGGAGCACGAUUUAAAGCCAGACAUCAGUAAAUUGUUGUACUUACACACCUCUGUGCACCUCCAAGAUUGCAACAGAGUCAUUUCAACUGAGUGGCAACAAGCCAGGCAGCACAAAUGGCUGGAGCAUCAUCUGUACCCUUGUAUGGUUUGUGAAUCUCCUUCCCAGAGGGACAAACAGGGUUGGCCCAGGCACAGCAAGGGCUCACGAGCUCCGUGUGAAGUGAAACAUGAGGCUUUUCCAGCACAGACACACACAGCAGAUCAUAUUUGGGCUCUCGGGCUCGGGGUGGCUCUCGGGAGCAGGCAGAGCAGAGCUGACGUGCUGCACGGAGCUGUGCCUCUGCUGAGGGUGUUCAUUCCCCCAGAAGCCUCUCCCAGAAGGUUCUGACUUGGCACAGGCUUGGCUAAGUCAAGUAUCACUUAACAAUCUGAAACUGUAAACUGCAAGUGCUUUUAUACAGCCAAGCUCGGCUGCUUAAUGUGCAGUAGCUGUAGGGUCUGUCCAUAAAACACACACUCAAGCCAUGAGCGUGCUUUUCCUGCCCUCAUAAAGUACCUACAGAGACAUAUAUCCCCCGAGGAAUUUUGGAACCCACACAGAUACAGUAGUGACAUUGCUCCUCAAUGUACUUUUUCCUUGGUUCUUUGGCUGAUUCUCAAGCUGAAAUUUUCUCUUUUCAGUAGGCAGGGGUUUGUAAAAGGUCCAGAUUCUACUCUUUUAUAUAGCAGGAAUCUUACAUUGUGCCUUUAAAGCUUUGUCAUGAUGGCUCCUGGUAUGUUCCCAGUUAAAUCUGAAGUAAAACUCUCCCUACAUUCAGGCAGAGCAGGAUUAGGCCUUACAUUUAAGAUUCCAGACAUGAUAAAGUCUCACUAAUACAAGUACUUAAUCCUCAUUUCAAUUUAUAUUUCAAUAUUCAUACUGGCAUCUAGAGGUAUCUAUUCAAUGUGGAUAAAAUAAAUCAGGCAUGUGCCUGGUUUAGUUGCCACUGUUUUGCAGUGGUGCCAGAAAAAUCAGCCCAGAGAAAUCCACUGCACAUCUCCUUAUUUCCUGGCCUGCCACUGCUGCAACUGGAAUGCCAGGGUGAAUUUCUGUACUGCCAGCUGUGUGCCACAACAAAACCCAGGAAGAUUUUCAGGUGAGGUAAAUGCUGAACACAGGGCCAAAGCACAGCCUGUCCCCGAGCAGGCACAUCCCUGUUCAAUGGAUGUUUCAUUUGGCCCCCAAAUUAUUUUUACCAUUUUUAUUUUUAUUAUUUUUAUCUCCUAUUCCUACGCAGUCUAAAGCACUACACAGAAGAUCUUUUUUGGGCAGACAGCUUGCUGUGCACAAGCUUCUUCCUUUGAUUGCCAAAGCCCAACUGCUGCACGCAAAUAGAGUUCCAGCUAAUGGAUGGGGCAGAGAUUGCAGUUUAAUUUCUCUAAGUAAUUCAGGCUGAUCAACAGAGACGCCCUAGAAGAUCCAAGUGGGCAGGGAUAAUGAUCACACAUCCAUGGAAUGCUGUACCUGGAGGUCAGAGUUUAGAAAGGGAAAGGAUUUUAAACUGUUUCCAAAGCUCCAUAUGAACUGUGCUGAUAUAAUUUAAUUUUUUUGAUGUUUUCCUCGUUCCUCAUAGCCAAGCAGUGUGCUCAGAUCAGAGAUGCUGUGUGCAGUAACCUGUGUGUACCAACACUCAACAUUUUGUGUGAGGCAGGAGU